CUUGUUUUCGAUUUCAUCAUUUUUCUCUAUUAUUAUGAAUUCCACAUCUUGUCUACCAAUUGUUUUCAUUUAAAGAUUUUGAUUCUUAUUUAGAUUUUUCACAAUCUAUUUUGGUUCACAGAUUAGUUAAGCAUUAUUGUCUUCACCUACACGUUUAUAAUUGCAUAUAAUUUUAUUUAAAUAAUAUGUUAUAUCAGAGACAAGUUCAUAUCGAAUGAGUAAUAAAAUCAGAUCAGGAACAAAUUCAGAUCGAAUGGUAGACAAGAUAAUAUGAUAUAACUUGAUUUUUUGGUUAUUUUGCAAUAGAAAGAAAAAAAUCAAUAAAUCGGGUCGGAGAAGACAAUAAUGCUCAACUAAUCUGUAGACCAAAAUAGAUGGUGAAAAAUCUAAAUAAAAUUCGAAACCCUUAAAUGAGGACAAUUGGUGGACAAGAUCUGGGAUUCAUGAUAAUUUUGAAAGAUGAUGAAAUCAGAGACAAA
Arabidopsis thaliana (thale cress) is the source of this 479-nucleotide non-coding RNA. The record is from RefSeq. Lineage: Eukaryota; Viridiplantae; Streptophyta; Magnoliopsida; Brassicales; Brassicaceae.